UACGAAGGGGGCUAGCGUUGCUCGGAAUCACUGGGCGUAAAGCGCACGUAGGCGGAUCUUUAAGUCAGGGGUGAAAUCCUGGAGCUCGACUCCAGAACUGCCUUUGAUACUGGGGAUCUCGAGUCCGGAAGAGGUGAGUGGAACUCCGAGUGUAGAGGUGAAAUUCGUAGAUAUUCGGAAGAACACCAGUGGCGAAGGCGGCUCACUGGUCCGGUACUGACGCUGAGGUGCGAAAGCGUGGGGAGCAAACAGG
This 253-nucleotide ribosomal RNA is filed under the name uncultured bacterium. RNAcentral's name for it is "partial 16S ribosomal RNA". It matches the Rfam family "Bacterial small subunit ribosomal RNA", at positions 524 to 776 of the family's 1533-position model. The record is from RNAcentral.